UCCUGCUCACGCUGAGGAUGCAGCUCCCUGCUGCCAGCUGCCUGCCGAGGGGCCCACGCGGCGGCGAGGAGUGAGGCAGCCAGCGUUGUCUUGCCGACAACCACGCGGGUGAGCCCGGAAGGAGAGUUCCCCUGUGGAGCCUUCGGCUGAGACUGCAGCCCCCGGGGAGACUGAGGCAGAGGCACCCAGCUUCCUAACCUACAGAGGUAGGUUAUUACCUACCCAGCUGUCUCAGGUUCCCUCAGCCUUCACCGGUCACGCCUAACAAGCAGACUCAGCCAGCCUCCCCGCAGGACUCACUGUCCGUCACCAACAGCUCAUUCCUGAGUCCGAUCACCUGAAGGCCCUGCGACUUCCAGUCCUGCAACCGACCUGCGCUCUCUGGCCCCUGCAAAAGCCCUGCCCUUAGCCCCCCACAGACAUCUUCCAUAUCAAAGUUCCUUUCCUCCUUGGCAAUCUUCAUCGUCUCAGUCACUGGCUGUUCGUGCAGCGAGCGAUGGGACCUCGGGCUGGACCCCUCUUGGGUUUGGUAACGAUGUCAAAGUCAAAACAGACAGUUGGAGAAAAAACCUUUUUUUUUUUUUUUAAAUAUGUAAUGCAAUUUACUGGAGUGAAGAGGAGGUUACAUAAACAAUUUCAAACUGCCAUUCCUUCUCCACUGAGUUCAAUGAUUUCUUUUUCACCAAGUUCAGUGAUUGUCUAGCCCUGCUUCCUCUCUCUCAUGGGGCUGGCAGGCUGUCACAGCACUGCGGCGUGGGAACUAAGGUAAACCGAGGACCCAGACCCUACAUAGUCACCCAGAGGCAUGGCAAUUGCCCGGCUGGCUCUCCCGGCAGCCUCGGGUCCCCGUGGCAGGGCCCGGCACUGGGCCUGGAGUAUGGCAGGUGUGGAUGUUCAUUCUCUGUGGCUGCUGCUAGGAAUCAUCCCGGAGGCAGUGGCUUCAAACAGCACGGAUUGGUCCUCUUGCGGGUCUGGCGGUCAGAUGUCUGACGCGCAUCUCCCUGCGUUAAAGCCAAGGUGCUGGCAGGGCUAGCUCCUUCCGGAGGCUCUGGGAGAAUCUGUUUCCUUGCCCUUCUCAGCUGCUAAGGCCACCCACAUUCCUUCACUCCCAGCCAGCAACGGCGGCAAGUCACUCGCACGUCACGUCACCCGACCCUGACGCUCUGACUCCCCCUCCCACGUUCAGGGAUGCUUAACGAUCACAUUGAGCCCACCCAGGUAAUCCAGACUAGUCUCCCUGUUAAGGGCAGCUGACUACCAGCCUUAAUUCCAUCUGCAACAUCCAUUUCCCUUUGCCACGUGACCUAACAUUGCCACAGGCUCUGAGGGUCGGGGCGGGGAGCUCUUUGGGGGUCGUUCUUUUGCAUUCCGCAGUGCUCGCUAGACGAGUGUAGCCAGCGUCAGUCAAUCACUCUGGAUUAUUUAAGACUUCAGCUACGACUUUCAAUCACAAGGCCUCCAGGUAACUAUUUCCAUCCUCAAAGCGUUUCAUGUUUUAAAAAGAAAAAAAGCCAUCUAAAAUUUAUAUUGUACAUUUCUACACCACUCCCAAAGGUGAAAACUCGCAACUUUGGGCCAUGCCCAGAACACGAUCGGCGACUAACCUCACUAUCAGUGACCGAGUAGUCCAUGCUUUAGACUAAGGGCACACAGUAGGGUCUAGUCCAGACAUAAGUGACAGGAAACAUUGCUAAUUAGAUUCUUCUUGGAGGUCGCUUCAUGGAAGCCAUAGAGGUUAUUUUUUUUGGGUAAUACUGGUUUUGUUGCUUCUGCUCAGUAAGCUCGGGAAACUCCCCCGAUUCCAGAUAGACUCGGCGUGCAGGGGGAAGCUGAGACGGAGGACAGGAGUUGCGUCUCUGAUGGAAAAGGGUGAAUCUACCCGGGCUCUGCCCAGGACCUGUUGAAUCAGAAACUCCGGGGUGUGGACCCAGCAGGCUGUGUUUCAACAACCCCUCCAGGUGACUCUGACGCAGCUAAACUCUGGACAUCGGCGUAUGUGGAGCCCUGGCUCCACCAGUGGUCAGCGCUCAGCUCACUAUAGCGGGGAGGUGUGUGUCCUCUGUCGGAACAGUGUUUAUCAUAUUUGUUACUAUUCAAUACGAUUGUCUGUGUUAUGAUGGUGAUGAUGACGAGUACUGUUCUCACACAGCAGCUACCUGGGCCGGCACUGAGUGAAGCGGAAGCCAGGACAGGGCUCCUGCAUUCGGUUCAGCUGCUCCUGGUGCAUUCCGCAGAGCGGCUGCUUGCCAACCACCCACCGGGUUGUGCACGAGACUCGCCUCCGGUGAGCGCCGAGCUGUGUGCGUCUCCCAGCUGCAGAGUUAGCAUCAGUCUCAUCCUACAACUUGGACACACUUUUUCCGAGCGAAGACAGAAAUGCACUUUCCUGUUAGUUCACCUGAUGCACGUAUGCCACCCCUUUCCUCUCAGCUUUCCCUGCCCCAGCCCCUCCCCACCUUAGGAAGAAUAUUUUAUGGAUAGUUCCGUAUAUUUAAAGUCCUCUUUCCCAAAGCAAGCAAGACUUUAGCACAGGACGUCCUCCUUGGGCCCCCAAACCAGACAGCUGCAAAAGGGGGCCGGACAGGUUUUCUGACCUCACCUGUGAGCUGGGAUGUCAGGAUUCAUCAUUAGCUCCGAGCAUCUGCACCUGCCCACCCUUUAAUCUACACACUGAAGAAAAACAGCCUUCAUUCUGUUUGAUGUUUUAAACAUUUUUUGUGGAAGUGCAAAAAAUUUGCUCUGCCCCAUAGUCACUCCUGCCUGCGAGGCUGGCGGGUGCACCCGGCAGCGGGGAGGCGCCAGGGUGGGCCCUCUGUGCCCCAUACCCAUGCUGCUUGGCAAGGCCUGCCCGUCACCGACGCUGCGGCGGAACAGAUAACAAGCAGCAACGUUGCAGAAAGUGGAAGCGAGGUUUUGCAGGGAGGGUUGUUUAUGUCCUUUCAUUCUUGCAUGACAUUCUGUUUAUUAAAGAUUUUCAAAGCACAAUGCAUGAGACGCAGCAAGAGAAGCCGCUGUCGUGCUUGGCUGCCUUCCCCCCGUAGAGUGCCCUUAGGGCGGAAGUGCAAGCUGGGCAGCACCCACGGCCCACCCACACCCGAGGUCCUCCUGCGCCCACAGUCCACUCGCAGCGUGGUCUGCCCGCUCCUGUGGUCCUCUCCAUCCUGGGCCGCCAGCUCUGCCCACAAGCCCGGGUGCGCAGGUUUGGGUGCGGGAGGUGAGGGCCACUUACGCUUCCCAGAAACCGAUUCAAUUGUCAGUAAAUUUCGUUUUUACUAAAUGCAUACACAAUUUGCAAAUCUGAAGUCAGAAGCUAUAUGCAAAAGUAUUUUUUUGCUUUUGUUAUAAGAAAUAACAGGAAACUGAUUAUAAA
Molecule: non-coding RNA, 3370 nt
Organism: Microcebus murinus (gray mouse lemur)
Lineage: Eukaryota; Metazoa; Chordata; Mammalia; Primates; Cheirogaleidae
Source: RefSeq, a predicted model, not a curated record